This 426-nucleotide ribosomal RNA is filed under the name Triticum aestivum (bread wheat). RNAcentral describes it as "partial small subunit ribosomal RNA". The record is from RNAcentral. Lineage: Eukaryota; Viridiplantae; Streptophyta; Magnoliopsida; Poales; Poaceae.
AUGGCGGUGUCAGGGAGCGCUCAGAGCCGACGGUUCGCCGCAGCGUGCGGCGUUCUCAGCCGCUGCAUCAAGGCGACGGACGCGCGGCCGGCCGCCACGGUGGUCCUCCCCCUCAUGCCCGGAGCCGAAGUGCCCGCGCAAGACGAGCACGCGGUGGGUCCUGCGCCGGCGAGCGCGCAGAUGACCAUCUUCUACGGCGGGCAGGUGCUGGUACUUGACGAGGUCCCAGAUGACAGGGCGGCCGAGCUGCUCCGUGUCGCUGCCGCAGCAGGCACCACGCGAGGGGACGGCGACCUGCCCAUGGCGAGGAAGGCGUCGCUGCAGCGGUUCAUGGAGAAGCGCAAAGGAAGGCUCGCCGCUCGCGCCGUCCCCUACAGCCGGCCCGACGGCGACGCGUCCUGCUACCAUCUCACGCUGACGCUCUGA